Molecule: ribosomal RNA, 612 nt
Filed under: uncultured Sideroxydans sp.
Lineage: Bacteria; Pseudomonadati; Pseudomonadota; Betaproteobacteria; Nitrosomonadales; Gallionellaceae
Description: bacterial SSU rRNA
Rfam family: Bacterial small subunit ribosomal RNA
Source: RNAcentral
AGAGUUUGAUCAAGGAUCAGAUUGAACGCUGGCGGCAUGCUUUACACAUGCAAGUCGAACGGCAGCACGGGGGCAACCCUGGUGGCGAGUGGCGAACGGGUGAGUAAUAUAUCGGAACGUACCCGGAAAUGGGGGAUAACGUAGCGAAAGUUACGCUAAUACCGCAUAUGCCCUGAGGGGGAAAGUGGGGGAUCGCAAGACCUCACGUUUUCGGAGCGGCCGAUAUCAGAUUAGCUAGUUGGUGGGGUAAAGGCCUACCAAGGCGACGAUCUGUAGCUGGUCUGAGAGGACGACCAGCCACACUGGGACUGAGACACGGCCCAGACUCCUACGGGAGGCAGUGGUGGGGAAUUUUGGACAAUGGGGGCAACCCUGAUCCAGCCAUGCCGCGUGAGUGAAGAAGGCCUUCGGGUUGUAAAGCUCUUUCGGACAGAAAGAAAUCGCACAGGAUAAUACCUUGUGUGGAUGACGGUACUGUUAGAAGAAGCACCGGCCACACUACGUGCCAGCAGCCGCGGUAAUACGUAAGGUGCGAGCGUUAAUCGGAAUUACUGGGCGUAAAGCGUGCGCAAGCGGUUUCGUAAGACGACGUGAAAUCCCCCCGGCUUAACC